AUGUUCAGAUACCGGUCCUCUCACUGACUGGGUAUCCCCAGCCUUGUUUCCUGCCCUUCAGAGAGGACUGGUCCCUCAGCAAAAUGAAAGGCCAUAGAGUGAGUGAAACUGGAAGAGAAAGCUGAACACGCAUGGGUAUUCUAUUGCUCACUGUUGAAGAAAUAUAAUAUAUCACCCUGGAUAUAAAGUGACCACUUCUCAAGCCACUGCUACUGGGACUUCCCUGCCAUGGUGGACUCUAAACUGGAGCCCCAGGCCAAAAGGGACCCUCUUCCUUUAAGUGAGUUUUAUUGGAGUACUUUGUCACAGCAAAACAAAACAAAACUAAGACACAUGGUGUGGUAGGUGAGUAAUUAAGACAUGCUGAAAAAGAUUAUUUUCAAGAGUCCAAAUUCUACUCAUAUCUUCUGGGCCCGGCUCUCAGUGGUACCUAUCUUCAAACUUGGCCUUGAAAAAUUCUCUGAGGAGUCUGUGUACCACAGUUUCCAGCUGUUCCGCCAAAGUGACAUGGAAUGGAGAGCAGAGAACAGGAUCCCCCUCUAUCCAAGAGCAGUAAGCGAGGACAGAAUUCUGGCUUCUCUGACAUGGGAGUGGGGAAUGACUGCUCAGGCAAGAACCAGGCUUAGCCCUCCACAACUCCCAGGAAUUGUUGUCCCUUUCCCUGGCUUGCCACCAGGAUACAUUCAUGUGCUGCUGUUUUCUGCGUAUCAUCUUUUCCUCCCAAUAUUCAGCUCAUGCAUCCUGUAUCAGAAAGGAUGUCAGUGCCUGGGCUGUUUGAAUUUCUGCUAGAGGAGGAGGAGGGGCGUGGGCAAUGCUCAGGGGAAGAACCAGGGCUGGGACAAAUGUCUGCUUGAACUUGAGAAAAGGAACAGAGAAAGGGCAUUCUUCUAUCAUAGCAACACACCAGCAUCCCUGUCUGGAUAAAACUCAAUCUACCCCCUCAAUGAGAAAGUGGACAAUUCAAGAAUGUGCCUCUUAUUUCUUUCUAUCCACAAGUCCUGAAUGGGUAGAAAACCCAUAGGGAGGGAAUCUCUGAAAGUAUAGAUCCUGAAGUAGGUCUGUCAGACUCACCGAAGAAACGACAAGAUAUAUAGGUAAGCUUGCAUCUCAGAUAGACAAUGAAUAAUUCUUUUCUGCAUAAACAUACCCCACAAAACAUUCUAACAAGAACAACAACAACAACAACAAAACCCAACAUAUAUUUAUCUGAAAUUCAAAGGUGUCUUGAAUUUCUGUGUAGCAAAUUGGUUUUCUUGUAAACUACAUUUAAAUCCCAGGUCUUCAGAGUU
This 1289-nucleotide long non-coding RNA is filed under the name Mus caroli (Ryukyu mouse). RNAcentral describes it as "RIKEN cDNA D030044L04 gene (MGP_CAROLIEiJ_G0006415.1)". Lineage: Eukaryota; Metazoa; Chordata; Mammalia; Rodentia; Muridae. The record is from RNAcentral.